Molecule: long non-coding RNA, 766 nt
Organism: Cyprinodon variegatus (sheepshead minnow)
Lineage: Eukaryota; Metazoa; Chordata; Actinopteri; Cyprinodontiformes; Cyprinodontidae
Exons: 3
Source: RefSeq, a predicted model, not a curated record
AUAGUCUCCCUGUUGUUGUUGGGCUUUCAAGUGCUUCCAGGUCUUAAAUAAUUUCUGGUUUCGGAGGGUUUAGUGUCCGACGAUGGUCUGAAUUAAAUAUCAAAUGCUUCUCUUCCUUAAAGACGGCUGAUCUCUGAAUACUCUGAAUAUUUGGCUCAAACAUGAUAAGAUUUUACGCAGCCGUCGCCUCAGAAAGCUCGUUUUGGUCUGCAGUGGAAAUAGAUGUGGUGCUUCUUCUCUCAUUUAAGGUGUGAUAAAGCGGAGCGCCGGCGUCCGUCUGCACGGUCUGGAUCUGCUCCCAGCAGUGGCAGCAUCAACAAGAGGCUUCGCCUCGGAAAUCCCACUUGAGUCAGGACGCAUCGCCCGGCCCGCGGACGGCUCUAAUCGCAUCGACAGGUGACACGUAUGUGGGAACCAGAAGAUGAUGGGGGAGACGAGUCGGAUCGUGUGACCUGCGCCUCACAUGCCUCCUCCGUGCGCCGUGAGUGUGUGAGGAGUUUCGCUGUGACAACAGAUGACAUUUAGGAAACAAUCUGAGGGGAAUCUUGUUAACAAGAUUCUGAGGUGACGUGUUUUAAAAAGCCUUUUCACUCCUCCUCUAUAAAUAUCUGUUCCUCCUCUUUAAGUUCGCUUUUCUCUGGAAAACAGCCUCCAACAUCUGUUCCUGGUGUCCUUAAAGGCCUCAUGGGUCUCUGCUAAUCAUCCAUCAUCAGCGCCAAACCAAAUAAAUAUGUUACAUUAUGUCGCUAAACGUAUCGAGCAUCAA